RNAcentral lists this ribosomal RNA (478 nucleotides) under uncultured bacterium. RNAcentral describes it as "partial 16S ribosomal RNA". It matches the Rfam family "Bacterial small subunit ribosomal RNA", at positions 28 to 523 of the family's 1533-position model. The record is from RNAcentral.
GACGAACGCUGGCGGCGUGCUUAACACAUGCAAGUCGAACGGUAAGGCCCUUCGGGGUACACGAGUGGCGAACGGGUGAGUAACACGUGGGUGAUCUGCCCUGCACUUCGGGAUAAGCCUGGGAAACUGGGUCUAAUACCGGAUAGGACCACUGCCUGCAUGGGUGGUGGUGGAAAGCUUUUGCGGUGUGGGAUGGGCCCGCGGCCUAUCAGCUUGUUGGUGGGGUGAUGGCCUACCAAGGCGACGACGGGUAGCCGGCCUGAGAGGGUGACCGGCCACACUGGGACUGAGAUACGGCCCAGACUCCUACGGGAGGCAGCAGUGGGGAAUAUUGCACAAUGGGCGCAAGCCUGAUGCAGCGACGCCGCGUGAGGGAUGACGGCCCUCGGGUUGUAAACCUCUUUCAGCAUCGACGAAGCGAAAGUGACGGUAGGUGCAGAAGAAGGACCGGCCAACUACGUGCCAGCAGCCGCAGUAA